ACGAAUGAUUUAGUGGAUAAAUACAAUAAUCCUAAAUGGUCCAAGAGUCGGGAAAAGAACGAUUUAUGUUCAUUGAACCACUGUAGAAACAAAUCAAAUGAUUCACUGAAUCAUAAUAGAAGAAGUGGUUCCAACUAUUAUAUAAGUCAAUAUGUGAAACGAUUCACAAUUGAUAGAGAAUCGGACUGAAACUCGUUGAAUUAUUCAAGGUCGAUAAACGAACUCAAUUGAGUAGUCAAGGAAUCGAGAAGAGAAAUUAUUGGAAUAAUUCCCGAAUCAAGAUGAGAACUUAUUAAGUUCCAGGAAAAGGAUUUCGAAACGAUCAAAGAUUGUAAUAGCUCAAGAAUCAACAAUUCUCGGAAAUCAAAUUAGUUCACAGGAUAGGCGACAAUAAAUAUAUAUUGAAUUUAAAAGACGAGUAAUAACAAUAAUAAACCGAACGAUACGAGUGCUCGGCAUAUAUUCUGUUUUUCAGAAAGAAUAGGCAAGGGGUAGGGAUCCUCACCUGAAGUCCAAUGCAAGUGCUAUAAAAACACCUUACUCUCGAGUCAUGCUCAAGUCAGUACGCUCGAUACCUAUAAAAAUAUUCAUCACUUAACAACAUUCUAAAUGUUAAUAUAACCGUAUUAUUCCACUAUAUCACAUACUCAAUUUCUUGAAACAUUUAUUAAGAAUGCCUUGCUGCCACAGCUUAUUCGAACAAUCGUUACGAUCACCUUACUUAUCCGAAUAACCUAAACAAUAUAUGGAAUUAAAGCUAACAUCAGUGUCUACAGGUUUACUGAAGACCCUGAGCCCAAAUUAUCGACCUAACACAGUAAUAACAGCCUCGGAAGAUGAGUACAUGAAACUGCCAGGUUUUUAAACAAAUGCAUUAGCUGGCACUGUUUAUUCGAAAAAUCAUAACAAUUUGUAAAUUCAUCCAAAUUGGCCAAACAAUAUACCAAAUUGAACCUCACAAUGUAAACUACAAGUUCUCAGAAGACACAAAACCCAAAUUAUUAGCUCAACAUAGCACAAACGGCCUCGUAAGAAGAAUAUUCAAAACUGCCCUGUUUUUACAGAUUUUACCGUCACUUAAUUCGGACCUCUAAUCAGCUUCAAAACAUAUUCUAGCUCUAUACAAUUUUACACUUACCAAUAGUUUUCGAGGUCCUCUACGAGUUUCGUCAAGGAAUGAUUCCCAAAUUUGCACUCCAAACCCUCCAAAUUCUGCUCCGAAAACAGGUGCGGCAGCAGUUCUUCAUUUCUCUGAAUUUUGCCGACAUAACUGUCGGGUUUAAUUCGGUUAUAUAUGAUAGUCGAAAUUUGGGGAAAAGAUGAUAUUGCUAUAGUAUUCGAGCUGCUCUACAACUUUUGAGAAUAAACAAAUCCGAAAUUCAAAGCCUAAGUACCUCAAAUCGACUCCUAAAGUUCAGGGGCAGGCUGCACUUCUUGCCGUCUUCCGACCACCGGUGACCUCCGCCGGCGAAAUACUUCACCAUCGGGAAGCUUGCUUCUCAAGUUUCCCAACAAUACUUUCGGAUCGUCAAGACUCCAUUGAUAAAACCUUCUUGCAGCCCCUUUCUCUGAAGAAUCAAUUAGGGGCUUUCUUCUCUAAUCUCCCAAUCCUUCAACCUAAACUUAAUUACUCAAAAUCCUCUCAUAGAACUUGAUUUUUCCAACAAUUUCUAUGAUUCCAUUCAAGAAUCGAUAGAGAGAGAGAGGAGACAGCAGGCGAGAGAGAUGAUGAGAGAGUGAGGAGUUAGUGAGUAUAAAAAGAAACGAAGAGAAGAGAAAUUCAUCGGAUAAAGAUGACGAAUAAGCCGACUCAGCAAUUUAUCUACGAGGCUCUCUCUGCAAUUCCAAUUAAUUGCACAGCAUCGGUUCAAUCAUAUCCAAUUCAUAAACUUGAUUGCCAAGUUUAUGAAAUUAUUAUUACACUUAUCCCCCAACUUUUCUAUUAAUAACACAUCAGCCCCAAAUCUCAUUAUAAAGUACAAUAAACUCUUGUGUAUAUAUAUAACAUAAGAAUAAACUACGGGGUGUUACAAUCUCCCCUCCUUAAAGGAAUCUGGUCCCCAGAUUCUCAACUAAUACUCGGACAUGGGAUAUAGUCUUCGAUAAUCAUCUUGUUGCUAACUUGUGGCUUCUUCAACUUGGUAGUUUCUUCGAAAUACCUUUUACGUCCUUUUUGUCGAGGAUUUCGUCACCAAGAUGGAUAACCCUUACGUGGUUAAUCUCUAUAAAGAUGGCGUUAGCUUAGUCGGUACCUCAAACAUACUACGAAUUCUCCAUGAGAUUCAACUCCACGAAAGAAAAGAAAUAGUAUUGGCAAGAUGGCCUAUAUGUUCUCAAUUGGAAAUGACUUGGAUAACGAGUGAACUCUUAUCGUAAUGAAUUCCUACAACUGCUCAUGAAACAGAAUCAGAAAGUACCAAUUGUGGAAUCUCAAUAUUCGUGGUAUUAUCACCAAUACCAUUCAAAUCAUUGGUCUCGUACUAGAGGUAGCCUUGCCGCCGAGCACGAUGCCUAAUAUAUAACGGUCUAAUACAUAAAUGUCGAGAUAUUGGUAGUCAGCCAAUUAAUGUGACUUGAAAGGUACAACAAUUAUUGGAAAAAUAAUCGAGUUAGGGUUGUAGCUAUGAGUGCUACAGAUGGUCUGACGAGGAAUAAGAGGGAUUGAUACAAGCUCGAUAUCGAUCGAAGGUUCUAAGUAGCACCCCAAUUAUCCAUGUCAUUUUCUUCAAAAGAAUGUGCUUCUUCUCAACCGUUUUGCUCGAGUCCUUUCUUGGUGAGACAUAAGAUAAUCCUAUCAGUUUAGACCAUGUACACUUGUGGAACGUUCCUAAGCUCUUCUGACGAUCUUGUGCAGUCUUUGCACCUUAUUUGAUCAACCGAACUUUAUCAGUAGCAUCUUGCAAAAUCUUCAAUCGACACGCCCUUUAUCAGCCAUGAUUGGUUGCUCUCGCUCAUCUGGUUUUCCGUCACCAGCGAGUCAACACUUUAUACCCAACAAGAGAUAAGAUUUCAGAUCUAUAUCUAAAGAAGAGUGAAGAGGAGGCUACUGGCUCAGUCCACGGUUCUGGUCUACAGCAAGUGGUAUUGAUUGCUCUUCAUCAAACUCGAUAAGGACAACAAAUCCUAAUUUACCUAAUAUGCCCACAUCGGAUACUAGGAGGACUUGUUAGCAAAUGAUGAUAAUGCUUGUAAGUAAAUAAUUUCGAAAAUUUUAGAAAAUCUCAAGAGUAAACAAACUCUAUCGACUUUCAGAAUCAUGAUGACUAGACAAACUUUCCAUGGACAAGUCAAGAAUAUAAAACAAAGGAUAACAAGCUUUGAAAGGAUACUUGGUGCAUGAAAUUCAAUAUCAUAGGAUAUUCAGCAAAAUAAUCCAAGAUGAAAACCACAAAAUCUGAAUAGGUGCCAGUCAAAAGGAAGGUCAAAACUUGUGCACUGAAUUAUGACCAAUUAUUAAUGGUCAUGAUUGCCAAUAGAACUGGAAUAAUACGAAGCAGCAUAGGAAAGUCGAAUCAUAAGGUGUUCAAAGAAAUGAGAGGCCGUGAAUAAUAUGGAAUCAAAAUCAUGACGUAUUUAAGCAAGAUGAGGAAUCUCACUCAAGAAAAGUUGAUAACCAAGAACAUAAGGUAUUGAAACUAGAAUAGAAGAAUCAACUAUGAUCAACGAUGAAGUUUAAACUGUACAUCAUCUUAUGCAUAAUCAAUGCGAGAGGGAGAAUAAAUGUGGAGUUACUCGCACCAGAAUAAAAGAUUCCCCACAUAGCAAAGAAGAAAAAAAUAAUAUUCAAUGGAAGAUAAAAGAAUUGAAUAGAGAAACUGUCGGAAAAUUCGGCUCAUCCUUGAGAAAGAAUGAAAACGAGAUUCAGGUGAGCCGAGUCGAGUGAUAGAGUUCUCAAAGAAAUGAGAAAUCUAACAAAAGGUAUAACCAAAUUUAAAAGAGAGAAGGAAUUUCACAAGAGUGUAAUCGAAACGAAUGAGAGUAGAAAUCUCAUAAGAGUUUAAUCUAAGAGAAUAUGGUUCUCUUAUGCCAUAAUAUUCCACAUAGAGCAAUGGAACGAAAUCGGAUUCAAUAAAAUGCUGAAAGAAUCGAGUAUAUGAACUCUCAGGCAUUUGGCUCAAGCAUUUGGCUCACUCUAGAUUAUAAAUUAAAACGAGGUUAAGGUAAGCCAAAUCAAGUGAAAUAGUACUCAAAUGAAUGAGAAGUUUGACGAAAGGGAUAUACGAAUUGAAACGAGAUUAGAAAUCUCAUAAGAGUUGAAUCAAUUUCAAUGAAAUAAGAACCUCAGAAAGCCGGUACACAAAAGUGGAUGGUAGAAGAAUAAAAUAGAGUCUCGGAAAAUGGAUAAGACAAACCAUAGAAUAUUCAAACGGGUUAAGAAACCUCACUUGUGUUCAAUAAUAGCAAUAUGAUGUGGCCAAAAGAACCAAGAACAUCAAAUAUCUAUAGGAAAAUAGAUAAGAGUCUCGAUUAAACUAACUCAAAUAUUAUGAAUUCGGGAUCAAUUCGUUUGUGGAAAAGCACGUAAGAUGGAUUUUUCUUGUCUUCGGAUCUUGUCCUUAGAUUUAUUGAGCAGACAUACCAGAAAUUACUAGUCUUUCUUCUGAACUCGUGUGGAUUUCGUAACUAUUUGCGUUGAAAAUAGAGGCACGAACAACUUGCCAUUCUUGAAUGGACCGUUCUCUUUCGACUAGAAUUAACUUUCAUGCUUGCGAAGUCCAUCUAAACCUCGAACAAACACGAUAAACCGAGUCCAAAUAACAUGUCGAGACCUAGGAUUGAUGGUAGGACAUUAAUAUGGAAUAUUUCUCUCUAUCUAUUUCGAUAAUAGACGCCAAAAUACCUUCUCAAUACCUCUAAUACUGAAUGUUGACUUAUUAUUAUAGGCAGAUAUACCGUUAAUAACCUCAAUUUCAAACGUAAAUUCAGAGCUCUCUAAUGUACAAGAGCCUAAACCCACCUUUAAAGCCUAAGUUUCUACAAUUUCCAAGGAUCUAUAUCCGGCGUCGCUCGGGUACCCAACCCAAGCUCUGAUACCACCUGUGACGCCCACUACCGAAAUACACUGUACUUUUUUUUUUUUUCCAUUACAAUAAAUAAAUACAAUGACUUCCGAUAAAUACAAUGUUUCCUACUUAAUUUCUGAACAAUAAUAUCAAAUACACGUGACAACCAAAUGCCACAACUAAUCUCGUAUUCAUAGUUCUCGAAUUACAAUCAUUCUUAAACACAACACUAGAUUAAACUCUCUAAAAUCUCUGAAUAACUUCUACUCCUAAGAGCCAUCAACAAUAUCGUCCACUAAUGCACCUGUUACUGAGAAUAAGAAGAAAAAUAAAGGAGGAGUAAGUCCAAGUGGACUUAGUGAGGAGUACGAGGGAAAAACAGUCGAAUCAAAUAAUAAUCACAAUAUAAGCGUUCAAGGAAUUGGAGUUGGAAUUGGAGUUGGAAUUGGACCAUCUAGAGAAUGAUCGUUCGAUAAGGAAUAAGAGGCCAAAGUAUAAGGCACAUCAAUAUGAUCAGAAUCCACAAUAUAAUCAAUAUGUACAGGUAAAGAACAAUAUUCAACGGGUAAUUCCCGGAUAUCAAUUAUGAAUUUCGUGGAGAUUCCCACGAUAACAAUUUCGGAUAAAUAUGAGACCAUGGAGAUUCCCAUGGUAACAAUUUGUUCAUGUACCUGUACCUGCCUUGUGACUCCCUUAGUCGUUACUACCUUAUAACCCCGAUCAGGGCGCUACCCUGCUAAUUGAUCAAUAGGCAUGCCCGGGCGCAUGCCGAUCCAUCCAUCAGCACAGUUAACCUCCAACUAUGCCAAUGGUCUAGAUCCAAUAUGGGUACUGUCGAAGAGACCAUCCACCGUCGGCCCAAUACCGCCCAGCAGUCUUUUUCGAACAGCCCCGGGCCCAACUGGUCAAUUAUCCUUAGGGCGUCCCCAAAGGAAUCAAUAAUAUAGAGAUACGGAUAUGCUUCCGACUAUCUCAAUUUACAUUUUGAAUCCCAAUAAUGAAUUCCACUUUGGAAAGAACCAAUAUCACAGUUCAACGAUUGUGGGAUUCGAAUAACAAGUGAUAAUAUCUUGUGGUCACAAAAUCACAAGUCAAGAAGGGUACGAUCAAUGGUUUCAAUAAGAGAGUGACCACAAUUGACGAAGAUGGAUCUCAAUCAAAAAUAGUCUACGGUUAAAAUAGAAUCCGUAGUUGUAUAGCUCGAAAGGCAAGUGGUUUCAAAGGAUCAAUGGGAAGUCAAGAUAUGAACGAUCCAUCAAUUCACAGUAGGUAUGGAACGAAUGAUUUAGUGGAUAAAUACAAUAAUCCUAAAUGGUCCAAGAGUCGGGAAAAGAACGAUUUAUGUUCAUUGAACCACUGUAGAAACAAAUCAAAUGAUUCACUGAAUCAUAAUAGAAGAAGUGGUUCCAACUAUUAUAUAAGUCAAUAUGUGAAACGAUUCACAAUUGAUAGAGAAUCGGACUGAAACUCGUUGAAUUAUUCAAGGUCGAUAAACGAACUCAAUUGAGUAGUCAAGGAAUCGAGAAGAGAAAUUAUUGGAAUAAUUCCCGAAUCAAGAUGAGAACUUAUUAAGUUCCAGGAAAAGGAUUUCGAAACGAUCAAAGAUUGUAAUAGCUCAAGAAUCAACAAUUCUCGGAAAUCAAAUUAGUUCACAGGAUAGGCGACAAUAAAUAUAUAUUGAAUUUAAAAGACGAGUAAUAACAAUAAUAAACCGAACGAUACGAGUGCUCGGCAUAUAUUCUGUUU
RNAcentral lists this long non-coding RNA (6749 nucleotides) under Erythranthe guttata (spotted monkey flower). Its description in RNAcentral is "long non-coding RNA (EGUT_LNC000770)". Lineage: Eukaryota; Viridiplantae; Streptophyta; Magnoliopsida; Lamiales; Phrymaceae. The record is from RNAcentral.